GAGAGGGAGAGAAAGAGAUCACAAUGUGGACUUGAUCUCACAAUCAGACCAUGACCUGAGCUGAAAUCAAGGGUUGGAUACUCAACCAGCUGAGCCACCCAGGCGCCCCUAAAUCCCAUGUUUCAGUUAGAGUAAAAGGCAUCUGUGUUUCUUCAUUCUCAACUUCUGAUCAUCACCAAGCUGAUGGAAAAAGGAACAUAGAUUUCUUUGAAAAGAGGAAGUGGAGAUCAGAGUGACUUUGAGCCCCUGAGAUGUCGCUUGAUUUCCCAGUGAUAGAGGAGGAGGAGGAGGAAGAAUAAGAAGGAGAAGGAGAAAAAGAAGAAGAGGUGGUGGUGGAGGAGGAGGAGGAAGAGGAAGAAGGGGAACAAAAGGAGGAGGAGAAGGAGGA
Long non-coding RNA from Neofelis nebulosa (Clouded leopard), 388 nucleotides. RefSeq lists it as uncharacterized. The record is from RefSeq and is a predicted model, not a curated record. The transcript is spliced from 3 exons. Lineage: Eukaryota; Metazoa; Chordata; Mammalia; Carnivora; Felidae.